CAUUAAUGAAAUGUUGAAAGGAGUCUGAUGCUGGGGCUUCGGCUCAUUGUGCUCGGCUCUGAUCCAUUCACAUACACUGUGCACAACACUUCUUUAUCAUUAACGCAUGAACUGUCAUACCAUUCUAUGAAUGUAAAUACAACUUUCAACAACGGAUCUCUUGGCUCUCGCAUCGAUGAAGAACGCAGCGAAAUGCGAUAAGUAAUGUGAAUUGCAGAAUUCAGUGAAUCAUCGAAUCUUUGAACGCACCUUGCGCUCCUUGGUAUUCCGAGGAGCAUGCCUGUUUGAGUGUCGUGAAAUCAUCAACUCAACCGAGUUGGAAUUGAGGGUUCUGCUGGCACCAGUGGUCGGCUCCCUUUGAAUGCAUUUCAAAAGAUUGAAGCUCUUUCAAUUGGCGUGAUAAGUGUCUCGUCUUGAGAUAGAGUCUUUUCAUUCUCUAAUUCACUCUUUGACCUCAAAUCAGGUAGGACUACCCGCUGAACUUAAGCAUAUCAAUAAGCGGAGGAAAAGAAACUAACAAGGAUUCCCCUAGUAACUGCGAGUGAAGCGGGAAAAGCUCAAAUUUAAAAUCUGGUGGCUUCGUCACCCGAGUUGUAAUCUGGAGAAGCGUUUUCUGUGUUGGACCGUGUACAAGUC
RNAcentral lists this ribosomal RNA (636 nucleotides) under fungal endophyte. Its description in RNAcentral is "eukaryotic LSU rRNA". The stretch from base 141 to 294 matches the Rfam family "5.8S ribosomal RNA". The record is from RNAcentral. Lineage: Eukaryota; Fungi.